This 253-nucleotide ribosomal RNA is filed under the name uncultured bacterium. RNAcentral describes it as "partial 16S ribosomal RNA". It matches the Rfam family "Bacterial small subunit ribosomal RNA", at positions 524 to 776 of the family's 1533-position model. The record is from RNAcentral.
UACGUAUGGUGCAAGCGUUAUCCGGAUUUACUGGGUGUAAAGGGAGCGCAGGCGGCACGGCAAGCCUGAUGUGAAAGCCUGCGGCCCAACCGCGGGACUGCAUUGGGAACUACCGGGCUGGAGUGCCGGAGAGGUAGGCGGAAUUCCUAGUGUAGCGGUGAAAUGCGUAAAUAUUAGGAGGAACACCAGUGGCGAAGGCGGCCUACUGGACGGUGACUGACGCUGAGGCUCGAAAGCGUGGGGAGCAAACAGG